UUUAUAACGGAUGCUGUUAUUGGUGUUGUGGGUGUGUUAUAAACAACAGAGAGCGUCAUUUAGUGUCACUGCACGUGUGUUAAUCUGUUAUUAUCAUGUAUCUGAAAUCCUCGACACAUUUAAUGCUCUUUAUUUGACUGAAAGUUUGUUUUGUGUGACCCCGCUCAUGUUCGCGUGACGUCAUAAACUCGGCGGCAUCAGGCACGAGCUGUUUAAGUGGCGACUUUGUGUCAUUUUUUCCUACUGAUGAACGCAGGUGUAUUUAUCAGUGUGUCAAGUUUACUGCACAGUUUCCGUCCUGUGCUCCAGACACGAACGAUUACUCAUACUGUUCCUGUUUGUUGCUGAGGGGUGCUGCUAUUUAAAAUGACCAGGCUUAUGGUUUUCACCUGCUGGACCAUGAAUCCGGUGAAAAGUCCCUCAGGCGCACAUCAAACGAGGGACCUGGACACAUCUACAGACCAGAAUAUGACAGAGUCUAUAUUAUAUCAGACAUGUGGGCUCUUUGGACCAGUAAACAACCAACCAACCACCCACUCACUAAGAGCACACUAGGUGGUGUUACAGAGCUGAAACUGGAGCAGGAGUGAAUAUCUUGAGUCCACAUAGCCUAUUUGUGUCUGAACUACCAUUAUCAUUGGAAACUCAAGAUGCUGAAGAUCACGACUGCAGCUAAAAUCAACAGAGAUCCCAGCAGCAGCAGAGAUCAACACUAUCAGAGAGACUGAAUCUGGAGGAUAUGAAGGACAGUGAAAGAGAUGUAAUAGUUUGCUGAUGUCCAGAUGUGUGGUCUGGUUGCUGAUGGGAUUGUUGAUCACACAGCUGUAGGUGUUUUUAUCCUGAUAUUCCACCUCCAGAGGUAGAGAGAGACUGAUGCUGAGAUCAGACACACUGAUGCUGGACAAUAAACUGUUUCCUUUGUACCAGGAGAGACUCACAUCACUCACAUUCACCACUGAACACAACAAUGAACAUGAUGAUGAUGAAGAACAGUUUGAAGAGUUACUGCUGAUGACAGGAACAGGCAGAUGAGCUGAAAAUAUGAAACAAUAAGAGGAAUAUGAACACAACAAUUGGCUUAUUUUCAGUGUUGUGAAUUGUAGUAAAUAAUCAGUGUAAUAGAUUUAGUGUUGAGUGAGUGUUUAGUGUUUUAACAGUCCUCCUUAAAUGUUCUUUGUUCUCGUUCUCAUAUAUGUUCUUGUGUCAUAUAUGUAUAUAUUUGUGUACUGUAUGAAUGUACCAAGAGCUC
Molecule: long non-coding RNA, 1249 nt
Organism: Labeo rohita (rohu)
Lineage: Eukaryota; Metazoa; Chordata; Actinopteri; Cypriniformes; Cyprinidae
Exons: 4
Source: RefSeq, a predicted model, not a curated record